Small nucleolar RNA from Magnolia sinica, 106 nucleotides. The record is from RefSeq and is a predicted model, not a curated record. NCBI's taxonomy places the organism in Eukaryota, Viridiplantae, Streptophyta, Magnoliopsida, Magnoliales, Magnoliaceae.
UAUCCAUGGUGUGGGCAAGCAAGAAGUAAGUCCUUGAACCAUUCUUGACACUGAAAAAAGUUUCAUCUCUUUUUUGGGAUAAGUUCAUAAUGUCAUGCCUGAGAGA